AAUAGAUACCCCGGUAGUCCACGCCGUAAACGAUGUCGACUUGGAGGUUGUGCCCUUGAGGCGUGGCUUCCGGAGCUAACGCGUUAAGUCGACCGCCUGGGGAGUACGGCCGCAAGGUUAAAACUCAAAUGAAUUGACGGGGGCCCGCACAAGCGGUGGAGCAUGUGGUUUAAUUCGAUGCGAACGCGAAGAACCUUACCUACUCUUGACAUCCACGGAAUUUAGCAGAGAUGCUUUAGUGCCUUCGGGAACCGUGAGACAGGUGCUGCAUGGCUGUCGUCAGCUCGUGUUGUGAAAUGUUGGGUUAAGUCCCGCAACGAGCGCAACCCUUAUCCUUUGUUGCCAGCGAUUCGGUCGGGAACUCAAAGGAGACUGCCAGUGAUAAACUGGAGGAAGGUGGGGAUGACGUCAAGUCAUCAUGGCCCUUACGAGUAGGGCUACGCACGUGCUACAAUGGCAUAUACAAAGAGAAGCGACCUCGCGAGAGCAAGCGGACCUCAUAAAGUAUGUCGUAGUCCGGAUUGGAGU
Molecule: ribosomal RNA, 528 nt
Filed under: uncultured bacterium
Lineage: Bacteria
Description: bacterial SSU rRNA
Rfam family: Bacterial small subunit ribosomal RNA
Source: RNAcentral